RNAcentral lists this long non-coding RNA (319 nucleotides) under Lathyrus oleraceus (garden pea). Its description in RNAcentral is "Pisum sativum (pea) long non-coding RNA (PSAT_LNC029470)". The record is from RNAcentral. Lineage: Eukaryota; Viridiplantae; Streptophyta; Magnoliopsida; Fabales; Fabaceae.
AUUUUCUUUCCUAAAAACGAAAGUGAAAAUUAUUCUCGAGCUGUGAACAGCUCCACAAUGUAAUGCAAAUCUGAAUAUUUUUCCCCUUUUUCCUACAAAUUCCUUUCUUCUUCUUCUCCCACACAAUCUCACUCUUCAACGCUGCACUUUGCUCCUUUUUUUUCUCUAUCCAUUUUUCCUGGUACUGUAUAUCUUCAAUUCUUUUCUAUUCAAUAUUCAUUGCCGACAACAAUGCCUUUCACUUUGUGAUUCACGUCUUGUUCGCGUAAUCCACCUGUUUCAGAUCUUGGAUUUCACGUUCAAUUUUAAGUAAAUUGAU